GUGCUUGCUUUGGCAGCACAUGUACUAAUUUGGGAAUGAUAUAGAGAAGAUUAGCAUGGCCCCUGUGGAAGGAUGAUGUGCAAAUUCACGAAGCAGUCCAUAUUUUU
Molecule: small nuclear RNA, 107 nt
Filed under: Procavia capensis (Cape rock hyrax)
Lineage: Eukaryota; Metazoa; Chordata; Mammalia; Hyracoidea; Procaviidae
Source: RNAcentral